This 68-nucleotide transfer RNA is filed under the name Oreolalax lichuanensis (Lichuan lazy toad). Its description in RNAcentral is "tRNA-Phe". It matches the Rfam family "tRNA". Rfam says of the family: Transfer RNA (tRNA) molecules are approximately 80 nucleotides in length. Their secondary structure includes four short double-helical elements and three loops (D, anti-codon, and T loops). The record is from RNAcentral. Lineage: Eukaryota; Metazoa; Chordata; Amphibia; Anura; Megophryidae.
GUUGCUGUAGCUUAUUAAAGCAUGGCACUGAAAAUGCCAAGACGGGACCUAACUCCUCCCCAACAACA